GAUGAAGAACGCAGCUAAAUGCGAUAAGUAAUGUGAAUUGCAGAAUUCAGUGAAUCAUCGAAUCUUUGAACGCACAUUGCGCCCGCCAGUAUUCUGGCGGGCAUGCCUGUUCGAGCGUCAUUUCAACCCUCAGGCCCCCAGUGCCUGGCGUUGGGGAUCGGCGUGGGCGGCGACGGCUCUCCGGAGCCCGAACCAAUGCCUGCCGGCCCCGAAAUUCAGUGGCGGUCUCGCUGUAGUCCCCCUCUGCGUAGUAGCACAACUCGCAUUGGAGCUCGGCGGUGGCCAUGCCGUAAAACACCCCACUUCUGAAAGUUGACCUCGGAUCAGGUAGGAAUACCCGCUGAACUUAAGCAUAUCAAUAAGCGGAGGA
This 370-nucleotide unclassified non-coding RNA is filed under the name soil metagenome. RNAcentral describes it as "partial contains 5.8S ribosomal RNA, internal transcribed spacer 2, and large subunit ribosomal RNA". The stretch from base 1 to 120 matches the Rfam family "5.8S ribosomal RNA", at positions 35 to 154 of the family's 154-position model. The record is from RNAcentral.